UUUAUGGAGAGUUUGAUCCUGGCUCAGGAUGAACGCUGGCGGCGUGCCUAAUACAUGCAAGUCGAGCGAACGGACGAGAAGCUUGCUUCUCUGAUGUUAGCGGCGGACGGGUGAGUAACACGUGGAUAACCUACCUAUAAGACUGGGAUAACUUCGGGAAACCGGAGCUAAUACCGGAUAAUAUUUUGAACCGCAUGGUUCAAAAGUGAAAGACGGUCUUGCUGUCACUUAUAGAUGGAUCCCGCGC
RNAcentral lists this ribosomal RNA (247 nucleotides) under Staphylococcus aureus. RNAcentral's name for it is "partial 16S ribosomal RNA". It matches the Rfam family "Bacterial small subunit ribosomal RNA", at positions 1 to 236 of the family's 1533-position model. The record is from RNAcentral. Lineage: Bacteria; Bacillati; Bacillota; Bacilli; Caryophanales; Staphylococcaceae.